UUUCCGUAGGUGAACCUGCGGAAGGAUCAUUAGUGAAUCUAGGACGUCCAACUUAACUUGGAGUCCGAACUCUCACUUUCUAACCCUGUGCAUCUGUUUUAAAAUUGGCUAGUAGCUCUUCGGAGCGAACCACCAUUUUUCACUUAUACAAACACAAAGUCUAUGAAUGUAAACAAAUUUAUAACAAAACAAAACUUUCAACAACGGAUCUCUUGGCUCUC
Molecule: unclassified non-coding RNA, 221 nt
Filed under: Rhodotorula diobovata
Lineage: Eukaryota; Fungi; Basidiomycota; Microbotryomycetes; Sporidiobolales; Sporidiobolaceae
Also listed under: 1 other name
Description: partial contains small subunit ribosomal RNA, internal transcribed spacer 1, and 5.8S ribosomal RNA
Source: RNAcentral